UCGAAAGCUCAAGGUCCUGAGUUCCAUUCCCGGUACCAAAAAAAAAAAAAAAAAAUCACCACAGAUCUUUAAAAAUCCCUGACACUCAGGCCAGAUCAAUUAAACCAGAAUCCCUCGGGGACCCCAGAAGGCAUCCGGAGUUUCUAAAUUUCCCCAAAUGAUACCAGUGUGCGGCCAAAAAAUGGUCUGCUGGGGGGAUCGAGCCUCAUCAGCUCUGAAUUUGCCUCUUCUGAAACCUCCUCAUGGGACUGGGCUAGAAAUGCAGCCUCCGAUGGCUCCCGGCCAACGCAGGAGAAUCCACUUUCCCAGGAGCCCGGGAGGUUUACACGCAUGCGCACUGAAGUCCUGGCAGUUUUGUUCGAAAUGACACCGAAAGGAAGUGGCAGGCGAAAGUGUCCUGGGGUGAGGGUCACACUGAUGGUGUCCGGAGCUGCACCCACCAGCUCUCAGUGACCGACGCGAAUGUGUUAAACUCCUACAGCUCAGCAGAGCCUUCCUCCAGGGCCCGUGAGCACCUCUGAAAUGAAACCUUCAGUCUCUGGAGAGGGUGGAAGCCUCACUCAGUGGACACCCUGCUCCAACUUGCACACUACCUCCCAGCAUCAAGAGCGGCAGGGCCUCAAGUCGCAGUUUCCGCGCCUGGUUCACUUGAAGGCGGGUUUUGCUUUGAGAGUUGCGCUCAGAUCUUCUGGGGCUGCAGACGUUGGUCAUGGAAGAGGGGCGGCCAUGUCACCCCGAAUCUCAGCGGGCCGGACUGAACCCAGAGCCUUCACACAGAACUCUAUUCUCAACGCACCUCCAUGGAUCACACCUUUCUGAAGCACACAAACAAAUGGAAAACAAAUUGAAGCAGCUUUUCCUCACUUUCUCCUCUCCUUCAUGCAGCGAUGCCCAAAGGCUUUCUCCUGCCCAGAUCUGGACGUUCAAAAGCCAGCGCAGUCCUCACCCCCAGAGGCAGCUGGCUUCGAGGGGACUUUCUCAAGGCAACCUUGGCGUUUUUGCAAAUGUUAACUAAACAUUUUGAAGUCUGGAAACGGAGAACGAGAAGUGCUUUUGCUCUUUACAAAUAUCACCUUCCUACGUUUGAAGUAAACUAAAUCUCUGCUCUAGUGCUCACCA
Non-coding RNA from Heterocephalus glaber (naked mole-rat), 1119 nucleotides. The record is from RefSeq and is a predicted model, not a curated record. NCBI's taxonomy places the organism in Eukaryota, Metazoa, Chordata, Mammalia, Rodentia, Bathyergidae.